UCAAGCUAAUAAGAGCACAGGGUGGAUGCCCAGGCACCAAACGCCGACGAAAGACGUGGCAAGCUGCGAAAAGUCACGGGGAACCGCAAGCAGGUAUUGAUCCGUGAACGUCUGAAUGGGGAAACCCGGCGGGUUAACAGCCCGUCACUAUUAACUGAAUCAAUAGGUUAAUAGGGGGAACGCGGGGAACUGAAACAUCUCAGUACCCGUAGGAAGAGAAAAUAAAGAAUGAUUUCCUAAGUAGCGGCGAGCGAACGGGAAAGAGGCCAAACCGAAGGGCUUGCUCUUCGGGGUUGUGGAUCAGCAAUAAGGACGGAAGACCUUAGCAGAAGAGGAUUGGAAAGUCCCGCCAGAGAGGGUAAAAGCCCCUUACGCGAAAAGGUCAAACGACGAGCUGACACCAGAGUACCGCAGGACACGAGAAAUCCGGUGGGAAGCCGGGAGGACCACCUCCCAAGCCUAAAUACGAAUUGGUGACCGAUAGCGCAUAGUACCGUGAGGGAAAGGUGAAAAGAACCCCGGGAGGGGAGUGAAAAAGAACCUGAAACCCUGUGUUUACAAGCAGUGAAAGUGCGAGCAAGGCACGAUCACGUACUUUUUGUAGAACGGACCGGCGAGUUACGUUAUGCAGCAAGGUUAAGAACUGAAGGUUCGGAGCCGAAGCGAAAGCGAGUCUGAAUAGGGCGAUAGUUGCAUGACGUAGACCCGAAACCGGGUGACCUAUCCAUGAGCAGGUUGAAGUGGAGGUAAAGCUCCAUGGAGGACCGAACCAGACGUCUGUUGAAAAAGGCGGGGAUGACUUGUGGAUAGGGGAGAAAUUCCAAUCGAACCCGGAGAUAGCUGGUUCUCCUCGAAAUAGCUUUAGGGCUAGCCUCAUGGAUCAUUGGUGGGGGUAGAGCACUGAAUGUGCGCGGGGGCCACAAAGCCUACCAAACGCUAUCAAACUUCGAAUACCAUACAAUGCAGACCAUGGGAGUCAGUCCGCGAGAGAUAAGUUCCGCGGGCAAAAGGGGAACACCCCAGAUCAACCGCUAAGGUCCCCAAGUUCACGUUAAGUGGAGAAGGAUGUGGAAUUGCACAGACAACCAGGAUGUUGGCUCAGAAGCAGCCACACAUUUAAAGAGUGCGUAAUAGCUCACUGGUCGAGUGAUUGUGCGCCGAAGAUGUCCGGGGCUAAACGUGACACCGAAGCGAUGGGUGCAUCUGAAAGGAUGCGCGGUAGAGGAGCAAUGUGCAGAGGCAGAAGCCGUAUCGAGAGGCACGGUGGACACUGCACAAGAGAGAAUGCCGGUAUGAGUAGCGAGAGGCAUGCGAGAAACAUGCCCGUCGAAAGCCCAAGGUUUCCUGGGGAAGGUUCAUCCGCCCAGGGUAAGUCGGGGCCUAAGCCGAGGACGGAAGUCGUAGGCGAUGGACAGCAGGUGUAGAUUCCUGCACUACCGAUGGAAUGAAGCAGUGACACAGAAGGAUAACUCGAGCAGGGUGAUGGUCAACCCUGUGCAAGCAUCAAGGUUGGGUUGUAGUGAAGUACGCAAUCCUAUAAGCUGAGGUGUGAUGCGGACCGAAAUUUCAGUAGGGAAGCGAGUGAGUUCACGCUGGCGAGAAAAGCUGCUAGUACAUCCAAAGGUACCCGUACCGGAAACCGACGCAGGUGGGCGAGGAGAGAAUCCUGAGACGAACGGGAGAACCCUUGUUAAGGAACUCGGCAAAAUGACCCCGUAACUUCGGGAUAAGGGGUGCCUGCGAGAGCAGGCCGCAGAGAAUAGUCACAAGCGACUGUUUAGCAAAAACACAGGUAUCUGCGAAAGCGAGAGCUGACGUAUAGGUGCUGACACCUGCCCGGUGCUGGAAGGUUAAGGGAACAUGUUAGAGCAAUCGAAGCAUCGAACCGAAGCCCCAGUAAACGGCGGCCGUAACUAUAACGGUCCUAAGGUAGCGAAAUUCCUUGUC
Molecule: ribosomal RNA, 1947 nt
Filed under: human gut metagenome
Description: bacterial LSU rRNA
Rfam family: Bacterial large subunit ribosomal RNA
Source: RNAcentral